CCUGAUCCAGCAAUGCCGCGUGAGUGAAGAAGGCCUUCGGGUUGUAAAGCUCUUUUGUCAGGGAAGAAAAGGCUACGGAUAAUACCUGUGGCUCAUGACGGUACCUGAAGAAUAAGCACCGGCUAACUACGUGCCAGCAGCCGCGGUAAUACGUAGGGUGCAAGCGUUAAUCGGAAUUACUGGGCGUAAAGCGUGCGCAGGCGGUUUUGUAAGACUGUCGUGAAAUCCCCGGGCUCAACCUGGGAAUGGCGAUGGUGACUGCAAGGCUAGAGUUUGGCAGAGGGGGGUAGAAUUCCACGUGUAGCAGUGAAAUGCGUAGAUAUGUGGAGGAACACCGAUGGCGAAGGCAGCCCCCUGGGUCAAAACUGACGCUCAUGCACGAAAGCGUGGGGAGCAAACAGGAUUAGAUACCCUGGUAGUCCACGCCCUAAACGAUGUCUACUAGUUGUCGGGUUUUAAUUGACUUGGUAACGCAGCUAACGCGUGAAGUAGACCGCCUGGGGAGUACGGUCGCAAGAUUAAAACUCAAAGGAAUUGACGGGGACCCGCACAAGCGGUGGAUGAUGUGGAUUAAUUCGAUGCAACGCGAAAAACCUUACCUACCCUUGACAUGGAUGGAAUCCCUUGGAGAG
RNAcentral lists this ribosomal RNA (632 nucleotides) under Duganella sp. Ri2Pt_4025. Its description in RNAcentral is "bacterial SSU rRNA". It matches the Rfam family "Bacterial small subunit ribosomal RNA", at positions 382 to 1007 of the family's 1533-position model. Lineage: Bacteria; Pseudomonadati; Pseudomonadota; Betaproteobacteria; Burkholderiales; Oxalobacteraceae. The record is from RNAcentral.